UCAUAAUCAUAUUCUCAUUUCAUAGCCUAUCCUUACAUUUUCCUCAUUGUCAUGACAUAACAUUUUGUUUGUUGUUUCCAAUACUUGGAUGUCCCCCGAUAGCUUCCUUUUCCAUUCAACUUUCAGGUGCUCAGAUAUUGACGACAUGAAUAAGCCCGUUACGAAUCUUGAAAUUGAUUUUGAGAAGGCUGUUUGCUUAGGAGAAUUUGAA
Molecule: long non-coding RNA, 211 nt
Filed under: Gossypium barbadense (sea-island cotton)
Lineage: Eukaryota; Viridiplantae; Streptophyta; Magnoliopsida; Malvales; Malvaceae
Description: long non-coding RNA (GBAR_LNC023283)
Source: RNAcentral